RNAcentral lists this ribosomal RNA (534 nucleotides) under uncultured eukaryote. RNAcentral's name for it is "SSU rRNA". It matches the Rfam family "Eukaryotic small subunit ribosomal RNA", at positions 21 to 549 of the family's 1831-position model. The record is from RNAcentral.
UAGUCAUAUGCUUGUCUCAAAGAUUAAGCCAUGCAUGUCUAAGUAUAAACACCUUAUACUGUGAAACUGCAGAUGGCUCAUUAAAUCAGUUAUAAUUUAUUUGAUGGUUAACUUACUACAUGGAUACCCGUAGUAAUUCUAGAGCUAAUACAUGCGUCAAGUCCCGACCCUCGCGGGGAGGGAUGUAUUUAUUAGAUAAAAAACCAAUGCGGCCUCUGGUCGGUUUUGCGGUGAUUCAUAAUAACUGUUCGGAUCGCACGGCUUCACGCUGGCGAUAGUUCAUUCAAAUUUCUGCCCUAUCAGCUUUCGACGGUAGUGUAGUGGACUACCGUGGCGUUAACGGGUAACGGGGAAUUAGGGUUCGAUUCCGGAGAGGGAGCCUGAGAGAUGGCUACCACAUCCAAGGAAGGCAGCAGGCGCGCAAAUUACCCAAUCCUGACACAGGGAGGCAGUGACAAGAAAUAACAAUACCGGUCAUUUUCAUGUCUGGUAAUUGGAAUGAGUACAAUUUAAAUCCCUUAACAAGGAUCCAUU